CAUGCUGCCAAAGUUCAACCCCAAAGAGAUCAAAGUCGUAUACCUGAGGUGCACUGGGGGUGAAGUUGGUGCCACGUCUGCGCUGGCCCCCAGAUUGGCCCCCUGGGUCUGUCUCCAAAAAAGGUUGGUGACGACAUUGCCAAGACAACGGGUGACUGGAAGGGCCUGAGGAUUACAGUGAAAACUGACCAUUCAGAACAGACAGGCCCAGAUUGAGGUGGUGCCUUCUGCCUCUGCCCUGAUCAUCAAAGCCCUCGAGGAACCAUCAAGACAGAAAUAAACAGAAAAACAUUAAACACAGUGGGAAUAUCACUUUUGAUGAGAUCAUCAACAUUGCUCAACAGAUGUGGCACCAAUCUGGAGAGAUCCAGAGAACUCUCUGGAAACAUUAAAGAGAUCCUGGGGACUGCCCAGUCUUUGGGUUGUAAUGUUGACAGCCACCACCCUCAUGAAAUCAUAGAUGACAUCAACAGUGGUGCUGUGGAAUGCCCAGCUAGUU
Molecule: long non-coding RNA, 499 nt
Filed under: Homo sapiens (human)
Lineage: Eukaryota; Metazoa; Chordata; Mammalia; Primates; Hominidae
Description: non-protein coding lnc-CLASP1-1:1
Source: RNAcentral